CGAAGGGGGGACGGAGAAGGCUAUGUUGGCCGGGCGACGGUUGUCCCGGUUUAAGCGUGUAGGCUGGUUUUCCAGGCAAAUCCGGAAAAUCAAGGCUGAGGCGUGAUGACGAGGCACUACGGUGCUGAAGCAACAAAUGCCCUGCUUCCAGGAAAAGCCUCUAAGCAUCAGGUAACAUCAAAUCGUACCCCAAACCGACACAGGUGGUCAGGUAGAGAAUACCAAGGCGCUUGAGAGAACUCGGGUGAAGGAACUAGGCAAAAUGGUGCCGUAACUUCGGGAGAAGGCACGCUGAUAUGUAGGUGAAGUCCCUUGCGGAUGGAGCUGAAAUCAGUCGAAGAUACCAGCUGGCUGCAACUGUUUAUUAAAAACACAGCACUGUGCAAACACGAAAGUGGACGUAUACGGUGUGACGCCUGCCCGGUGCCGGAAGGUUAAUUGAUGGGGUCAGCGCAAGCGAAGCUCUUGAUCGAAGCCCCGGUAAACGGCGGCCGUAACUAUAACGGUCCUAAGGUAGCGAAAUUCCUUGUCGGGUAAGUUCCGACCUGCACGAAUGGCGUAAUGAUGGCCAGGCUGUCUCCACCCGAGACUCAGUGAAAUUGAACUCGCUGUGAAGAUGCAGUGUACCCGCGGCAAGACGGAAAGACCCCGUGAACCUUUACUAUAGCUUGACACUGAACAUUGAGCCUUGAUGUGUAGGAUAGGUGGGAGGCUUUGAAGUGUGGACGCCAGUCUGCAUGGAGCCGGCCUUGAAAUACCACCCUUUAAUGUUUGAUGUUCUAACGUGGACCCGUGAUCCGGGUUGCGGACAGUGUCUGGUGGGUAGUUUGACUGGGGCGGUCUCCUCCUAAAGAGUAACGGAGGAGCACGAAGGUUGGCUAAUCCUGGUCGGACAUCAGGAGGUUAGUGCAAUGGCAUAAGCCAGCUUGACUGCGAGCGUGACGGCGCGAGCAGGUGCGAAAGCAGGUCAUAGUGAUCCGGUGGUUCUGAAUGGAAGGGCCAUCGCUCAACGGAUAAAAGGUACUCCGGGGAUAACAGGCUGAUACCGCCCAAGAGUUCAUAUCGACGGCGGUGUUUGGCACCUCGAUGUCGGCUCAUCACAUCCUGGGGCUGAAGUAGGUCCCAAGGGUAUGGCUGUUCGCCAUUUAAAGUGGUACGCGAGCUGGGUUUAGAACGUCGUGAGACAGUUCGGUCCCUAUCUGCCGUGGGCGCUGGAGAACUGAGGGGGGCUGCUCCUAGUACGAGAGGACCGGAGUGGACGCAUCACUGGUGUUCGGGUUGUCAUGCCAAUGGCACUGCCCGGUAGCUAAAUGCGGAAGAGAUAAGUGCUGAAAGCAUCUAAGCACGAAACUUGCCCCGAGAUGAGUUCUCCCUGACCCUUUAAGGGUCCUGAAGGAACGUUGAAGACGACGACGUUGAUAGGCCGGGUGUGUAAGCGCAGCGAUGCGUUGAGCUAACCGGUACUAAUGAACCGUGAG
RNAcentral lists this ribosomal RNA (1478 nucleotides) under Shigella sonnei. RNAcentral's name for it is "partial 23S ribosomal RNA". It matches the Rfam family "Bacterial large subunit ribosomal RNA", at positions 1462 to 2915 of the family's 2925-position model. The record is from RNAcentral. Lineage: Bacteria; Pseudomonadati; Pseudomonadota; Gammaproteobacteria; Enterobacterales; Enterobacteriaceae.